AUACGUAGGGUGCAAGCGUUAAUCGGAAUUACUGGGCGUAAAGCGUGCGCAGGCGGUUCGGAAAGAAGGAUGUGAAAUCCCAGGGCUCAACCUUGGAACUGCAUUCUUAACUACCGCACUAGAGUCUGUCAGAGGGGGGUAGAAUUCCGCGUGUAGCAGUGAAAUGCGUAGAUAUGCGGAGGAAUACCGAUGGCGAAGGCAGCCCCCUGGGAUAAUACUGACGCUCAUGCACGAAAGCGUGGGUAGCAAACAGGAUUAGAUACCCUGGUAGUCCACGCCCUAAACGAUGUCAACUAGCUGUUGGGCCCUUCGGGGCUUAGUAGCGUAGCUAACGCGUGAAGUUGACCGCCUGGGGAGUACGGUCGCAAGAUUAAAACUCAAAUGAAUUGACGGGG
RNAcentral lists this ribosomal RNA (395 nucleotides) under uncultured bacterium. RNAcentral describes it as "partial 16S ribosomal RNA". It matches the Rfam family "Bacterial small subunit ribosomal RNA", at positions 523 to 918 of the family's 1533-position model. The record is from RNAcentral.